Monodelphis domestica (gray short-tailed opossum) is the source of this 1665-nucleotide long non-coding RNA. RefSeq lists it as uncharacterized. The record is from RefSeq and is a predicted model, not a curated record. NCBI's taxonomy places the organism in Eukaryota, Metazoa, Chordata, Mammalia, Didelphimorphia, Didelphidae.
AGUUCCUUGCCAGAGAGUUUAGCUUUAUAGCCCUUUGCCUUUUCUCUAGAACUCAAAGAAUUAAAACAAGGAAUGAUGUGGUCUUGUUUUAAGAAGAGAAACUAGGAGGAAAAACCAGCAACUAUUUCCUUUGGAAUUUAAGCUUGCCUCUGAUAGUUUCUUUUUUCUUCUCCCUCUCUGUGUCUGUCUUGCCCUCCUUUCCUCUCCCUUCCUCUCGCUCCUUCAAUCUCCCUUUCUUAAGCUUCUGCCCUCUCUUCACUCUCUCCCAGCCUGAAAUUCAAAAGGAAGCCUGUGUAGGACUGAAUCUGCCAUUCCUUCUCCACGUCUUCCCCAGGGGGGCCCUUGGAAGGGUCUCCACCCCGCUACCUUUCCUCCUGGAGCUCAUUCCGAGACUUACCGAGUGGCCCACAAUGUCUCCCAACCUGCCCACACACACACCAAACUGGAAGUGUUUUCCUCCCCAGUACUCUUUUCCCUGCUCCUUCCACUCUAAUUAAGCCUUAUCCGAGGUGUAGGAAAUGGGGGCGGAAAGAGAUGAGGGAGACGAGGGGCUGCAGGGGACCCAGAAGCCCAAAUCGAAAGUCUUUUUGUGAGGUGGCACUCUAGCUGCGAUCAUUAACUCUCACUUUCGCUCCGUUUUAAACUAAGACUCACUUACAUCUUGUUUAUCAAAUUCGUUUUAAUUCCUCUUGGUCAGGUUCCAAGAGGGGUGGUGGAGAUUAAAGGCAACUGCGAAAUCCAAUUAGCAGCCCCGUCUUCUCCAGGCCGAGAUGCUGGGUCCAAAGGAGAUCAAAGCAGAUACUUUCUGGACGACUCUGUUCAUUAACCGGCAGGCGCCUCACACUGCUCUGCCGGCUCAUUACCGAGCCCAGGCCUGGGGACCGGAUCUCCGACGAUCCCACGACUGGGUCGGGGACACCCGCAGGAAAAUCACCAAGCCCGACCCACUUGGAGAGUGCCCAUCCCCCAGUCAGGCCUCACGGUGGGUCAAUUGAAGCAGAGGGACGGCUCCGAGCUUUAGGUGCCUACCAGCAAUCUGUGUCCCUUAAUUCUCUUAAAGAGUGCAGGCAAGAAUGCACACUCACAUCCACAAACACACACACACACACACACACACACACAUACACACAUACAGAGAAGAAAAUCUAGGUAAAUCCAGAUUUCACUGAUCGCCUAAGGCCAGAGGAUCGUUCUCUGAAAAUCCAACAACUCUAACUGAUCCCUCCACCUUUGUUCCUGUAGCUAUCAGCCUCUCACACUUUUUCAUGGAAACGCGACCCAGCUCUGCGCUUACUCUAGCGGGGCAAGUCUGAGGUCCUCUGCCCUGCAAACGUAACUAGGGGGGGAAAUCCUUUGCCUUGUCUAGGAGACACAGGAGACCUCGGAAAAGAAAUGACUCACCGGUGGCCGGCCUUAGGUCCCAGGAGGAGCCUUUUCCAGUGUCCUGAGGACUUUUGCCCAGGCAUCCAAGCGGCUCUUUGGCAUGGCCUGGAAGACAGAAGUGGAGUUUCACCAACAACAACCAGAGCAUUUGCAAACCCUAAACAUCUUGAAUCCAUAAUUACAACCUGCAGACGGGACUGGACAAUAAAACAUUGGGGCCUGAGAUUUGGGGAAGCCUUCUGGGACAGGGCCUGGAAUAAAUAAAAAAAAAUUUUUAAACAG